AACCCUUGUGGAGGAGGACGCCGAAGGUGGGGCUAAUGACUGGGGUGAAGUCGUAACAAGGUAGCCGUACCGGAAGGUGCGGCUGGAUCACCUCCUAACAGGGAGACAACAAAAUGUAAAUAUUAAUUUUGUCACCUUAGGUCGAUCGGUAUCUCAGAUUCUUAUUUUUUAAGAAUUUCAGUUUCUAAGUUUUUUCUAGGUCACACCCAUCACUUUUUCCUGGGCCAUUAGCUCAGGUGGUUAGAGCGCACCCCUGAUAAGGGUGAGGUCCCUGGUUCAAGUCCAGGAUGGCCCAUAUCUCUAUGUUGGGGGUAUAGCUCAGUUGGUAGAGCGCCUGCUUUGCAAGCAGGAUGUCAGCGGUUCGAGUCCGCUUACCUCCACUGAAUACCACCUCUUACAUUUAUUUAAAGAUGGAAAUUGUUUUGAGUCGUGUCCUAAAUUUGCUCUGAGCGAAUCUAGCUUCCUAUUUUAUCCAAUAAAUAAGAUGCUGGACUCAUUGAAUUUUUUUCAUUGUUUUCAGAGAACCUUGACAACUGCAUAGAUUAUUUUUGAAGACAAUAAGCAUCUUUAAUGAUGCAGAUUUAUUAUUUGUGCGAAUGCAUUAAAUAACAAUUCUAUUAAGCUGAUGCUUCAAUUUUUGAAGUUAUUGGUCAAGCUACAAAGGGCUCACGGAGGAUACCUAGGCACACAGA
This 692-nucleotide unclassified non-coding RNA is filed under the name uncultured Prochlorococcus sp. Its description in RNAcentral is "partial may contain 16S ribosomal RNA, 16S-23S ribosomal RNA intergenic spacer, and 23S ribosomal RNA". The stretch from base 1 to 98 matches the Rfam family "Bacterial small subunit ribosomal RNA", at positions 1437 to 1533 of the family's 1533-position model. Lineage: Bacteria; Bacillati; Cyanobacteriota; Cyanophyceae; Synechococcales; Prochlorococcaceae. The record is from RNAcentral.